Molecule: small RNA, 120 nt
Filed under: Streptomyces albus subsp. albus DSM 41398
Lineage: Bacteria; Bacillati; Actinomycetota; Actinomycetes; Kitasatosporales; Streptomycetaceae
Description: Streptomyces-metH RNA
Rfam family: Streptomyces-metH RNA
Source: Rfam by way of RNAcentral
GGCGUCCGCGUGCUGGACGGCCUGACGGCCGGGCCCGGGCACGGUUAGGCUGGCCCGGUGCGCCUUCCGCAGGGAAGCCGCAAAGCCGACAGCCGUCGCAUCCCAGGGAGCAUUCUCAUG